UACGUAGGGUGCAAGCGUUAAUCGGAAUUACUGGGCGUAAAGCGUGCGCAGGCGGUUAUGUAAGACAGAUGUGAAAUGCCCGGGCUUAACCUGGGAACUGCAUUUGUGACUGCAUGGCUAGAGUUUGGCAGAGGGGGGUAGAAUUCCACGUGUAGCAGUGAAAUGCGUAGAUAUGUGGAGGAACACCGGUGGCGAAGGCGGUUCUCUGGGCAUUACCUGACGCUGAGGAGCGAAAGUGUGGGGAGCGAACAGG
Molecule: ribosomal RNA, 253 nt
Filed under: uncultured bacterium
Lineage: Bacteria
Description: partial 16S ribosomal RNA
Rfam family: Bacterial small subunit ribosomal RNA
Source: RNAcentral